UUGAAUUUUUCCUGUGGGGAGCUGGGGUAGUGUGGGAUCCAGGUGGAGUCUCAACCUCUCCCCUCAGUGACAGACUCAGAAGAGGGUGCGGAACUCCAGAGCUGGCUGAAACAACGGAGAGAGAAGUAGGGGUUUUCUCCCGGAGAUCAGCUAUGAAGUCCCAGGGAGGAUGACCAUUAUUCACACGACUGUCAUCUGGGGAGAGACCCCAAGUUAAGAUCAAGAGAAAAAAGCGGGAAACAAAAUGGUAAAGACAACAAGAUGAGAAAAUCAAUGCCCAGAGAUUCUAAGUGAAGCCACCUCAGUGACAUAGACUGCUGAGACCCAACUCUGGAACCUCUCUCCCGUCCUUCCCUCUAGACUUAGCAGCUCUGCAUGCCUGCCUCUCUCACCUGGAUGCUUUGGAGCCAAGCUUUCGUCCCAUGCAAGGGAAACAACCACUUCUGGGAUGUCCGCUGCAAUCUGCUCCGGGGCUGCAG
Homo sapiens (human) is the source of this 479-nucleotide long non-coding RNA. RefSeq lists it as uncharacterized. The transcript has 2 exons. The record is from RefSeq and is a predicted model, not a curated record. Lineage: Eukaryota; Metazoa; Chordata; Mammalia; Primates; Hominidae.